CAAUAGCGUAUAUUAAAGUUGUUGCAGUUAAAAAGCUCGUAGUUGGAUUUCGGGGCAGCCUGGCUGGUCCGCCGCAAGGCGAGUACUGGUCAGCCGCCCUUCCUCUCGAAAGCCCCGACUGCUCUUCGUUGCAGUGGUCGGGUAGUUCGGGACGUUUACUUUGAAAAAAUUAGAGUGUUCAAGGCAGGCCUACGCCUGAAUACAUUAGCAUGGAAUAAUGGAAGAGGACCUCGGUCCUAUUUUGUUGGUUUCCAGGGCCGAAGUAAUGAUUAAGAGGGACAGUUGGGGGCAUUUGUAUUUCGUCGCUAGAGGUGAAAUUCUUAGAUUGACGAAAGACAAACUGCUGCGAAAGCGUCUGCCAAGGAUGUUUUCAUUGA
RNAcentral lists this ribosomal RNA (377 nucleotides) under uncultured eukaryote. Its description in RNAcentral is "partial 18S ribosomal RNA". It matches the Rfam family "Eukaryotic small subunit ribosomal RNA", at positions 592 to 976 of the family's 1831-position model. The record is from RNAcentral.